RNAcentral lists this small nucleolar RNA (157 nucleotides) under Hortaea werneckii EXF-2000. Its description in RNAcentral is "A. fumigatus snoRNA Afu_198". It matches the Rfam family "A. fumigatus snoRNA Afu_198". The record is from Rfam by way of RNAcentral. Lineage: Eukaryota; Fungi; Ascomycota; Dothideomycetes; Mycosphaerellales; Teratosphaeriaceae.
AAAUCUGCUUCUACAAUGAUGAGAUCUAUCGAAAAGUACCCAAUCUUUAUAAAAUUUAGGAAGAGCCGGAAAAGGUACGGCACAGUCUAGCAUCGCCAAAUGCUUGUACAUAGCCGUCGGUGCUUAUAAAUGGGACUCUGAAGCCUCAAAUCUAAUG